Coffea arabica (coffee) is the source of this 621-nucleotide non-coding RNA. The record is from RefSeq and is a predicted model, not a curated record. Lineage: Eukaryota; Viridiplantae; Streptophyta; Magnoliopsida; Gentianales; Rubiaceae.
CGGACAAGACCAAUCAAACAAGUGGGCAAAAGAAUCGCGAGGAGUUGUGGUGCACAUACUGCAAGAAACCACGACACACCAUAGAUCAAUGCUGGAAACUACAUGGGAAACCACCCACUCGUGAAUGGGGACAAAAAGGUGGCCAAUAAAGGCAGGCUCAUAUGUCGGUUCAAGAUCCAACUCAAGUGAUUGGAGGGUUUAGUAUGGAGGAAAUUGAGAAGCUUAAAAGUAUGUUAGAGACAGUUGACAAACCAGCAACUAACAAUUCUCAAUCAAGGAAUCCGGGACCGGGGCUCGGGGAAGAGGAUUGGACUAGCUAAGGAGCAUGAUGGACUCUAUUACUUGGAUACAUCAAGUCAACCAGAAUUUAGUAAAUCUGCCCUCUCCACAUUGUCUUCACCCUCCAAUAAAGAUGUCAUCUGGUUACAUCAUAGACGUCUAGGUCAUGUAUCUUUUUCUGCAUUAAAAAUAAUGUUUCCUUCCUUGUUCAAGGGAUUUGAUGUUCAGUCUUUUCAUUGUGAUAUUUGCGAGUAUGCUAAACACACUCGUGUCCCAUUUCCUAUCAGUAAUAAACGAUCGUCUUCUCCUUUCUUUUUAAUCCAUAGUGAUAUUUGGGGGCCA